UACGUAGGGGGCAAGCGUUGUCCGGAUUUAUUGGGCGUAAAGAGCGUGUAGGCGGCCAAGCAGGUCCGCUGUGAAAACUCGAGGCUCAACCUCGAGACGUCGGUGGAAACCGUUUGGCUAGAGUCCGGAAGAGGAGAGUGGAAUUCCAGGUGUAGCGGUGAAAUGCGUAGAUAUCUGGAGGAACACCGGUGGCGAAGGCGGCAUCCUGGACCGGUAUUGACGCUGAUGCGCGAAAGCCAGGGGAGCAAACGGG
RNAcentral lists this ribosomal RNA (253 nucleotides) under uncultured bacterium. RNAcentral describes it as "partial 16S ribosomal RNA". It matches the Rfam family "Bacterial small subunit ribosomal RNA", at positions 524 to 776 of the family's 1533-position model. The record is from RNAcentral.